AGAGGAGAUGAGUCAAGGUCACUCUCACACAAAGAGAUGCCACUUCAUUGGUGUGUGGGGAUUCGGUUAGUGAGCACCAUUUUGAGAGUUUUCAUUGUGGAGGCAUAGGCGCCACUGUCUGCACAGCUGGUAGAUUCUUACUAGUGGCGCCAUUGACGAGACCAGAGGAGGAGGGCGUGGAUGAGGAGGUGGCGGCGGCGGCAGCAUCGACAGCUCCUGCAUGCAACAACAACAACAACAGUGCAAAUGAAAAGCAGAUGCUAAGAAGAAGAAAGGAAUGCAAUGCAGACAAAAGCCAGUCUGGCUCUUAUCAGUGAAGUGUAGCAGUCAGCAUGAGUUCUAUGCCAGUGUGAACAAAAACAACGAGCUGCAACCUGAGCUGAUUUAGAGAUGGCACAGAUAAAGAUCUAAUGAUAAUCUGAACUAAAAUCAUCGGCUUCAGAUGUAAAAAUUAUAUAUUAUAUAUAUAUUAUAAAAUUAUAUAAUUAUAAAUCACAAUUGUUUAGUGUUCGGCUCCCUCACUGGAGGGGAAAGGUCAAACAAUGUGAGAUCACAAGGUCUGGGUGGAUGCCUUUGGCAUUGAAAUACUGGCCUCAUGCCUGUUAAAGUUCAUUGAGGAAAGGGGAUUUUUUUUUCCGGAAAAAAAAAAAAAAAAAAAAAAGUAGCUUCUCAUAGUGGAUAGUGAAGGUGUGCUUUCAAAUAACUUGACUGCUGGACAUCUGCUGUAAACUCAAUCCAUGGACAUGACAGAGCUUGAGGUUGCUUAAAGAAGUAUAAAGUGUGCUGGAAAUACUCAAUUUACCAGCGAUAUUUCAAUGGAAGUGUUUCAUUUAGUUGCAUAAGGGGGAAUUCUGGAGGCGGAAACAAAGGUUUGCAUUGUGAGGCAGCUGCAGGCUGUUGGGAAAGUAAACACCGCCAUCUAGUGGAAAACAUCUGACCCAGUGCAGAUUUUGGGUGGUUCCACAUAAUUUAAGCUUAAACCACACUUACCCAUGGUGUUGAUCAUGCUUUUGGGGGUCACGGAGGCAGCAGCAAAUAUAUUGGGGGCCAACAGGCCAGAAGAAGGACUUCCACCCACUGUGGUGACGGCGAGGCCUCCAUGGGAAGGCCUCUUCACAGGCACCACCACACUCCUGUAGACCAGAGACACAAAACGCAAAAUUUACACAUGCAAGAUGUCAGCUAUGACCUACUACACUUUCCUUUUCAUGUGUUCUUUUGCUACUGGUGGACCUCUGCCCUCCCAGAGUGGAAAAGGAAGCCCUGUGUGAGCAGCAGGACGUCUGCGGGUCAUCUAGGGAAGAACUCUGACCCCAUUAGUGUUUAUUACUAUACAGAUAUCAAGCUCAAGUUCUGUUUUUGCACAUGGACCACUGAUUGGGAAAUGCCUCAAGAUCAUUUUAAAGAUAACGGAAUGUAAGAACUAUUUGCUCCCCUGACAGGAGAGAGAAGUCACGUUUUUGUCCUCGGUAUGUCUGUAUUUGGUCUUAAGGUUGUUUUUGUAAAAUGUCUGAGCAGGCCUGUUUGGUCUCCAGCUAAGCCUGUUGGCGUCUGAGUCCGAUCUCUGGAAAGCCUCAAGAGAGACAACACACAAUCAUUCUGUUUAGUGUUGCCUGUUGCAGGAAGAGAUUGAUACGCCGAGAGAAAGUCAUCAGUUCUGAAACAGCCUCAUCAUCCUGUAGUCUGUGAUGUGGGUGGAAAAAAAAAAUAGCACUGAAUGACUUGUCCCCAUUUAGAAGACUCCAAAACGUAUAAUGUAGAACUGUAUUGUUCCCUAGUGGACACAACGCUAAAGACACAGGCGCAAUGAUUGUUAAUUUGUAAGUUCUCUGCAAAAUUUUAUAACUGAUCUGGGUUCUACUGCUUAUUUAUUUAAAUCAAGACAUGAUAAAUGUAUUAUGAACACAUCUGUGUGAUUAACCAUUGUGUCUCUUAUGGUUGUCAGGCGGGUGGUCUACAAAAAUAAAUACACAAAUCAAACAGACAAUUUACAACUGUGGCUGUAAACAAUUUCCAGAGGUCAUUUUUGAAAUUAUAGCUGUAUUUUUUAGUAUCAUGAGGAAUUUUGCCCAUCAUCCACAGUCAGAAAACACAAGUAUCAUGUACAAUGUUUGCUCCUAAGACCGAUUGGUGCUGUGUUGUGUUGUGCAACUUUUAUAAAUGACCAUAUUAUCAGUGGGUUUGUCUUCCCCACUUUCUCAAUCAUUAUUGAAGUUAAAACAUGUUGAUAUAUUGUUAUAUUGUAUAUAAUUAAAUAGAAGUAACAGUCUCUCUCCAAUUAAUUCAAUUACCGAUUGUUUCCAAUUAACACCCAGGUAAUAAUUACGUUUAAUUGAAGUUUAAAGUAUUUUAUGGAUUCAAUGUGUGCCUACUGUAUAUUCUAAACAUGAAGUUACACAUUUGGAGCUCUGCCUGAUGAUAAAAACAAAAAUUACAUAAUUUUAUG
Doryrhamphus excisus (bluestripe pipefish) is the source of this 2446-nucleotide non-coding RNA. NCBI's taxonomy places the organism in Eukaryota, Metazoa, Chordata, Actinopteri, Syngnathiformes, Syngnathidae. The record is from RefSeq and is a predicted model, not a curated record.